This 253-nucleotide ribosomal RNA is filed under the name uncultured bacterium. Its description in RNAcentral is "partial 16S ribosomal RNA". It matches the Rfam family "Bacterial small subunit ribosomal RNA", at positions 524 to 776 of the family's 1533-position model. The record is from RNAcentral.
UACAGAGGUCUCAAGCGUUGUUCGGAUUCAUUGGGCGUAAAGGGUGUGUAGGUGGCGCGCUAAGUCGGGUGUGAAAUUUCGGAGCUUAACUCCGAAACUGCAUUCGAUACUGCGGUGCUUGAGGACUGGAGAGGAGACUGGAAUUCAUGGUGUAGCAGUGAAAUGCGUAGAGAUCAUGAGGAAGACCAGUGGCGAAGGCGGGUCUCUGGACAGUUCCUGACACUGAGACACGAAGGCCAGGGGAGCAAACGGG